This 341-nucleotide ribosomal RNA is filed under the name uncultured eukaryote. Its description in RNAcentral is "SSU rRNA". It matches the Rfam family "Eukaryotic small subunit ribosomal RNA", at positions 594 to 945 of the family's 1831-position model. The record is from RNAcentral.
AUAGCGUAUAUUAAAGUUGUUGCAGUUAAAAAGCUCGUAGUUGGAUUUCUGGGAGGGUGCCGAUGUCCGCCGUUGGCGUGUGCAGAGGCGCCCUGCCAUCCUUCUGUUAACCUUUCUCGGUAUUCACUUACUGGUUGGGGGCUCAGAUAUUUUACCUUGAGAAAAUUAGAGUGUUUCAGGCAGGCUCGCGCCGGAAUACAUUAGCAUGGAAUAAUAGAAUAGGACUUUAGUCUCCUUUGUUGGUUUGAGGGACUGAAGUAAUGAUUAAUAGGGAUAGUCGGGGGCAUUAGUAUUUAAUUGUCAGAGGUGAAAUUCUCGGAUUUGUUAAAGACUAACUUAUG